AGAUAUCGUCUGUAGAAAUGAGCCCCAUUAUAUGAAUAGACAUGGCAAUAUCAUUAUAUCGAUGUUAUUGUUGUUCUGUUAAGACAGUUACCCCCCUCUCGUGCACGCAGAGCUGCAGCGCUUGUGGAUCCUGGCCAUGAGCUUUCAAAGCAGAGGGAGGGUACUUACUUGGCUCAUAAACUCUCUCUCGUUCAUGUGUGCUCCAUUCAUUUCUCGGGAUGGAGGGGAUUCAUCUUCUCCGGAUGCAAACUGAUGCAGUAUAGAUUAUCUAUCAUUAUAUAUGACCGCCUUGAUUCAUUCCAAAUUAGAGUAACACUGCACGGUGCCUUCAGAUUAUGUGUAUUCCUGAUGUAUGUGGUUCUGUCAAGUGUAUUUAGGUGUGUUUGAGAAGUAAGUUUUGCUUUA
Molecule: long non-coding RNA, 405 nt
Organism: Asparagus officinalis (garden asparagus)
Lineage: Eukaryota; Viridiplantae; Streptophyta; Magnoliopsida; Asparagales; Asparagaceae
Exons: 2
Source: RefSeq, a predicted model, not a curated record